RNAcentral lists this ribosomal RNA (473 nucleotides) under uncultured bacterium. RNAcentral's name for it is "bacterial SSU rRNA". It matches the Rfam family "Bacterial small subunit ribosomal RNA", at positions 30 to 507 of the family's 1533-position model. The record is from RNAcentral.
AUUGAACGCUGGCGGCAGGCUUAACACAUGCAAGUCGAGCGGAGACUUCGGUCUUAGCGGCGAACGGGUGAGUAAUACCUAGGAAUCUGCCUAUUAGUGGGGGAUAACGAAUCGAAAGGUUCGCUAAUACCGCAUACGUCCUACGGGANAAAGGGGGGGGAUCUUCGGACCUCUCGCUAAUAGAUGAGCCUAGGCCGGAUUAGCUAGUUGGUAGGGUAAAGGCCUACCAAGGCGACGAUCCGUAGCUGGUCUGAGAGGAUGAUCAGCCACACUGGAACUGAGACACGGUCCAGACUCCUACGGGAGGCAGCAGUGGGGAAUAUUGGACAAUGGGGGCAACCCUGAUCCAGCCAUGCCGCGUGUGUGAAGAAGGCCUUCGGGUUGUAAAGCACUUUAAGCGAGGAGGAAGGUCUUUGAAUUAAUACUUCAAAGAAUUGACGUUACUCGCAGAAUAAGCACCGGCUAACUCUGUG